UUUUUCGAUAUCUUUCGACGAAUUUUAUCGCGAUCUAACGAUUUCUCUCACAAUCGGUAACCACUCUAAGUUUUAUAGCGUAUAUCUCGAGUAACACUUGAGGGUGAAAACGCGUUGCCGCGGUAGAUUCAUCCCCAGGAUAUGGAAACGUACGUAACGUGAUGUUACGAGCUGCUGCGGCACCCUACGAUUCAUACGUAGCGCGUGAUAAAUGAAAUGAAAAUUCUACUCCACCGUCUCGCGCUCAACCCUAUCUCUUUACACGGUUGCGAUUAAAGUUAGAAAAGUGUAAACCAAGAGCGAAAAUAUCUGUGCUACGUAUCGGAUCCUGGACAAUAGCCCAAUCAAUAGAAAGGAUACCGUGUACCACGCGCGUGAUGCACCAUACCGAAAUAUUCUGCCGGUGAAAAAGAGUUGAAAGCGGCUAAAAUUCAAGAGAAUC
RNAcentral lists this unclassified non-coding RNA (442 nucleotides) under Athalia rosae (coleseed sawfly). RNAcentral's name for it is "misc RNA ENSAEAG00005007340.1". Lineage: Eukaryota; Metazoa; Arthropoda; Insecta; Hymenoptera; Athaliidae. The record is from RNAcentral.